RNAcentral lists this ribosomal RNA (396 nucleotides) under uncultured bacterium. RNAcentral describes it as "bacterial SSU rRNA". It matches the Rfam family "Bacterial small subunit ribosomal RNA", at positions 29 to 416 of the family's 1533-position model. The record is from RNAcentral.
AACGAACGCUGGCGGCGCGCCUAAUACAUGCAAGUCGAGCGAGAAGACGUAGCAAUACGUUUGUAAAGCGGCGAACGGGUGAGGAAUACAUGGGUAACCUACCCUAGAGUGGGGAAUAACUAGCCGAAAGGUUAGCUAAUACCGCGUACGCUCCUUGGACUUCGGUUCAGGGAGGAAAGCGAUACCGUGGGUAUCGCGCUCUUGGAUGGGCUCAUGUCCUAUCAGCUUGUUGGUGAGGAACGGCUCACCAAGGCUUCGACGGGUAGCUGGUCUGAGAGGACGAUCAGCCACACUGGCACUGCGACACGGGCCAGACUCCUACGGGAGGCAGCAGUAAGGAAUAUUGCGCAAUGGGCGAAAGCCUGACGCAGCGACGCCGCGUGGGGGAUGAAGGUC